CGGCGCACUACGGCGCGGACGCGGCCGUCUUCGACGCGGCGCGGGGGGCCGAGGACCAUCUGGCGUUCGGCAUCGGCGUGCACCGC
Molecule: transfer RNA, 86 nt
Filed under: Streptomyces eurythermus
Lineage: Bacteria; Bacillati; Actinomycetota; Actinomycetes; Kitasatosporales; Streptomycetaceae
Description: tRNA-Arg
Source: RNAcentral